RNAcentral lists this unclassified non-coding RNA (317 nucleotides) under air metagenome. RNAcentral's name for it is "partial contains small subunit ribosomal RNA, internal transcribed spacer 1, and 5.8S ribosomal RNA". The stretch from base 1 to 46 matches the Rfam family "Eukaryotic small subunit ribosomal RNA", at positions 1786 to 1831 of the family's 1831-position model. The record is from RNAcentral.
AAGUCGUAACAAGGUUUCCGUAGGUGAACCUGCGGAAGGAUCAUUAACGAAUAUCUAUGGCGUUGGUUGUAGCUGGCUUCUAGGAGCAUUUGUGCACACCCGUCAUUUAUAUCAUCUUUCCACCUGUGAACUAUGUGUAGGUCUGGAUACCUCUCGCUUUGGCAACAAGGCGGAUGCAAGGAUUGCUGUCCGGCUCUCUUUGAAUUUCCAGGUCUAUGUCUUUUACACACUCCAUUUGAAUGAUGUAGAAUGUAGUCAAUGGGCUUUAAAGCCUAUAAAAAACUAUACAACUUUCAGCAACGGAUCUCUUGGUUCUC